Molecule: ribosomal RNA, 538 nt
Filed under: uncultured bacterium
Lineage: Bacteria
Description: bacterial SSU rRNA
Rfam family: Bacterial small subunit ribosomal RNA
Source: RNAcentral
AGUAAAUAGAUACCCGGGUAGUCCACGCCGUAAACGAUGUCGACUUGGAGGUUGUGCCCUUGAGGCGUGGCUUCCGGAGCUAAACGCGUUAAAGUCGACCGCCUGGGGAGUACGGCCGCAAGGUUAAAACUCAAAUGAAUUGACGGGGGCCCGCACAAGCGGUGGAGCAUGUGGUUUAAUUCGAUGCAACGCGAAGAACCUUACCUACUCUUGACAUCCAGAGAACUUUCCAGAGAUGGAUUGGUGCCUUCGGGAACUCUGAGACAGGUGCUGCAUGGCUGUCGUCAGCUCGUGUUGUGAAAUGUUGGGUUAAGUCCCGCAACGAGCGCAACCCUUAUCCUUUGUUGCCAGCGGUUAGGCCGGGAACUCAAAGGAGACUGCCAGUGAUAAACUGGAGGAAGGUGGGGAUGACGUCAAGUCAUCAUGGCCCUUACGAGUAGGGCUACACACGUGCUACAAUGGCGCAUACAAAGAGAAAGCGACCUCGCGAGAGCAAGCGGACCUCAUAAAGUGCGUCGUAGUCCGGAUUGGAGUCUGC